RNAcentral lists this ribosomal RNA (497 nucleotides) under uncultured bacterium. Its description in RNAcentral is "partial 16S ribosomal RNA". It matches the Rfam family "Bacterial small subunit ribosomal RNA", at positions 28 to 507 of the family's 1533-position model. The record is from RNAcentral.
GACGAACGCUGGCGGCGUGCCUAAUACAUGCAAGUUGAGCGAUGAAGAUUGGUGCUUGCACCAAUUUGAAGAGCAGCGAACGGGUGAGUAACGCGUGGGGAAUCUGCCUUUGAGCGGGGGACAACAUUUGGAAACGAAUGCUAAUACCGCAUAACAACUUUAAACAUAAGUUUUAAGUUUGAAAGAUGCAAUUGCAUCACUCAAAGAUGACCCCGCGUUGUAUUAGCUAGUUGGUGAGGUAAAGGCUCACCAGGGCGAUGAUACAUAGCCGACCUGAGAGGGUGAUCGGCCACAUUGGGACUGAGACACGGCCCAAACUCCUACGGGAGGCAGCAGUAGGGAAUCUUCGGCAAUGGACGAAAGUCUGACCGAGCAACGCCGCGUGAGUGAAGAAGGUUUUCGGAUCGUAAAACUCUGUUGGUAGAGAAGAACGUUGGUGAGAGUGGAAAGCUCAUCAAGUGACGGUAACUACCCAGAAAGGGACGGCUAACUACGUG